UCCAUUGAGUCGAUGAUGCCAUCCAACCAUCUCAUCCUCUGAGGCUCCCUUCUCCUCCUGCCUCCAUGAUUGUCUUAACAUGAGUCAGUUAUCAAGGAUCAGAGCUUGGUGGCUAAGAACAUAAAUGCUGGACUCAAACUAUCUGAGUUCAAAUCCCUGGGUUGCUCCUAACCAGCUGUGUGGUCUUGGCAAUUCACUUCUCUACUCCAAGAAGAAUAAUGUCUCUUUCAUAGAGAAUUUAGUCAGGUUUCCUCUGCAGAGUACUUUGGAUGAUGUCUGGCCAUGGGACGUCUAGAGGAGCUUCUCUUCAUUAGCAAGGCUUAAGUUCCAAAGACUAUGAUCCUCACAGACAACUCCUGCUGGUAGAAGCAGCAAGAUGAAGUCAGGCUGGGAGUCAGGUUCCCGCAUCAAAUUUGGCCCUGGGGGAUGCCUACAGAUCAGAAGGAGGGGCUCCGGAGCAGCAGUUCUCAAAGUGUGGUCCCAGGCCAGUAGCGCCCACAUCUGCUCCGGACCUUGUUAAGAGACGAACACUGGGGACCCCACCUAGACCCUCUGCAUCAGAGACUCUCCCUGGCUGGGGCCCAGCUGUCCGAGUUUGACGCUCAUGCUGCUAAAAUUUGAGAACCACACUUGAGUAUGUUUUCUCCAUUUCUAAAAUGAUACUGCUCUGUUUUGCCAGGAAAUGAAAAUGAGAAACCUCCUACAGUAAUUCCCACCAAAUUCUUAUCUUUAACCUUUGAGAAUGUAUUUUUUUUUAAACCGCUGUGCCAUAAACCAGAACUACUGUGACUUUAAUGAAAAAGUAUGAGUCGAUGAUUCAUUUGGUUGACAUGUUUUGAAAAUAUCGAGUUUAGUUGAUUUAUUGUCAGUGCCUCCAUGGGUACGAAGGACUGCAGAUUGUAUAUUUAUAUCACCAGAGGCAUUUCCUUUCUCUUAUGAACUUCUGUGUUUUAUUUACUUGUCCUUUCUUCCUUUUUAGCCGUUUUUGAGUGAUUUUUGUCUUAUUGAAAUAAAGUUGCUAUACUUUUUGA
Long non-coding RNA from Bubalus bubalis (water buffalo), 1031 nucleotides. RefSeq lists it as uncharacterized. The record is from RefSeq and is a predicted model, not a curated record. NCBI's taxonomy places the organism in Eukaryota, Metazoa, Chordata, Mammalia, Artiodactyla, Bovidae. The transcript has 2 exons.